This 107-nucleotide Y RNA is filed under the name Microcebus murinus (gray mouse lemur). RNAcentral's name for it is "Y RNA (ENSMICG00000046335.1)". It matches the Rfam family "Y RNA". From Rfam's summary of the family: Y RNAs are components of the Ro ribonucleoprotein particle (Ro RNP), in association with Ro60 and La proteins. The Y RNAs and Ro60 and La proteins are well conserved, but the function of the Ro RNP is not known. The record is from Rfam by way of RNAcentral. Lineage: Eukaryota; Metazoa; Chordata; Mammalia; Primates; Cheirogaleidae.
GCCUGGUCUCAAUGCAAUGGUGUUUACAACUAUAAUAAUUGAUCACAACCAGGGCCAGAUUUCUUUGUUCCGUCUCCACUCCCACUGCUUGACUUGACUAGCCUUAA